Molecule: ribosomal RNA, 252 nt
Filed under: uncultured bacterium
Lineage: Bacteria
Description: partial 16S ribosomal RNA
Rfam family: Bacterial small subunit ribosomal RNA
Source: RNAcentral
ACGGAGGGUGCAAGCGUUAAUCGGAAUUACUGGGCGUAAAGCGCGCGUAGGCGGUUUGGCAAGUCAGAUGUGAAAGCCCUGGGCUCAACCUGGGAACUGCAUUCGAUACUGCCAGACUAGAGUAUGUUAGAGGAAGGUGGAAUUCCAGGUGUAGCGGUGAAAUGCGUAGAUAUCUGGAGGAACAUCAGUGGCGAAGGCGACCUUCUGGGACAAUACUGACGCUGAGGUGCGAAAGCGUGGGGAGCAAACAGG